RNAcentral lists this unclassified non-coding RNA (363 nucleotides) under uncultured bacterium. RNAcentral describes it as "contains 16S-23S intergenic spacer region". The record is from RNAcentral.
UCCCCGUUACCGGGGCAGUCUGAAUAGAAAAAUACAACUAUUCACAAGGGUUGCGCUCGUUGAUGGACUUAACCAAACAUCUCACGACACGAGCUGACGACGGCCAUGCAACAUCUGUCACUUGGCUCAAUAAAGCACUCACUACUUUCGUAGUAAUUCCAAGGAUGUCAAACCCUGGUAAGGUUCUUCGUUUAUCAUCGAAUUAAAGAACACGAUCCACCGCUUGUGCGGGUCCCCGUCAAUUCCUUUAUGUUUUAGUCUUGCGACCGUACUCCACAGGCGGGAUACUUAACGCGUUAGCUUCGCUACUGGGGGGGUCGAUACCCCCAACAGCUAGUAUCCAUCGUUUACGGCGUGGACUAC